Long non-coding RNA from Rhagoletis pomonella (apple maggot), 523 nucleotides. RefSeq lists it as uncharacterized. The transcript has 2 exons. The record is from RefSeq and is a predicted model, not a curated record. Lineage: Eukaryota; Metazoa; Arthropoda; Insecta; Diptera; Tephritidae.
UGGUUGCAGCUCGUGGCCGUGUUUAUAUCGAAGGACCACCAUUAAGGCGAACAUUGCGUGAGGAGUACAACAAACGCUUGAUCAAUGAGAAUUUCAUGAAUACAACACCAAUGUUCUUUGUUUGAAUGGAAAAGAAAAUAGUAAUCUCAUUUAUACGACUAUACGAUAAUAUUUUAAUCAUAUGCAUUAUCCUAUUUUUAUUGUAAAGAAAAGUCAUUGCUAACUGAGGACGAAUGUCCUAAUCUCGCCCUCGCUAAGCAAAGCGCAUUUUUUACAUUUCAAAUGUUAUGUUUUCAACUAUAUUCCACUGGAUUGGCGAAAAUAUGCAACAGCAAAAUUCAUCGAGUUAAACUUAUAAAUUGUUUUGAAUUGAAAAAAUAUCGCGAAAUCCUUGGUAAUAAAUAAAACAUACAUUUGAAAACAGAUUCUUAACCUCUAUAUCCAAUAAUCCACAUAAACAUAUGUAUUAAAUAUCUGUCAUGUUAUAUCUAAAGCACCUGUAAUAAAUUUACCGAGUGCUGUA